UUUAUGGAGAGUUUGAUCCUGGCUCAGGAUGAACGCUGGCGGCGUGCCUAAUACAUGCAAGUCGAGCGAACAGACGAGGAGCUUGCUCCUCUGACGUUAGCGGCGGACG
Molecule: ribosomal RNA, 109 nt
Filed under: Staphylococcus epidermidis
Lineage: Bacteria; Bacillati; Bacillota; Bacilli; Caryophanales; Staphylococcaceae
Also listed under: 1 other name
Description: partial 16S ribosomal RNA
Rfam family: Bacterial small subunit ribosomal RNA
Source: RNAcentral